UUGAUAGAUCAGUUCGCCACCGACGGUGAUUAAGGAGACUUUCAGAGUAUCCAAACAUUGUCUGUUGAGAAACAACUGGUGAUUUCGUGUGACAAGUUUGAAGGAAUAUGAAGUGCCUGGUUAUUAUCUUGAUAACUGUGGGUCUUGCGUGGACCAUGCCCCUGGAACAUGAUCCUGAGAAGAUGGAAGACAUGAUAACUGAUACGCAGCUUAACGACCCACAUUCCAUGACACUUGGCGACAGCGCUGGAGAAGUUGGCCAACAAGGAACCAACUUGGGCCAUGUCCAUGUAGGAUAUGGCCGCCGCCAAUACAGGCUAUUUGGCCACAUCGGUACAAAAGUUGGCCAACAGGGAACCAACUGCAACUCGGGCAAUGUCGGUGUUGGAAAUGGAUAUGGAUAUAGAUAUGGCCGAAAAUGACUGAACUGAAGAUUUCUUUUCGAGUUUUACCCUGAGCUUGUAAAACGUUUUUCAGUUGUAGUUUAGUAGAUCGAAAAUGUAAGGAGCAAUAACUGUAAAGGAUGCAGGGUAAUAAAGUGUUUAAAAAGCAGAGUGAACUGUUUUCAUUGAUCAGUAAUAUGAGAUGUCAGACGCCUUCUCGCCCUAGUCCCUGAGAGGCGGGGUCUCCAGGGGCCUGGGGUGAAAGACUAAUAUUAAUAGGGACUUAGCAUGGAAGGGCCGGGUAGUACAGGUUACCCCUCACAAUUACUUAAUCAAGAAUUAAAUUCAAUAUUUAUGAGUAAUAGACCACCAUUAAAUUUCCCAUUACAAGCUCCACUCCCCACUCAGCCCUCCUUAAUUUCGGCUGCCCACUCGGUAUGGUAUUAACAACCCUUGACAUAAAUGUAUCACAAAAUUUUGAACACUAUUUUAUACCAAAUCCAAUCCACAUCGGAAUAAAUUUCUGACAUUUUAUGAAACAUUUGUUGGUGCCGUUCAGGCUUCCAUAAAUUACAACAAGCUUGGAAAAACCUUACAACCGCGCGAGUCACAUGGAUAUCGGCGGUUUGUGUGACCAGUUAUUAUUUUCCCUACCAAAACAGUAU
Molecule: long non-coding RNA, 1048 nt
Organism: Orbicella faveolata
Lineage: Eukaryota; Metazoa; Cnidaria; Anthozoa; Scleractinia; Merulinidae
Source: RefSeq, a predicted model, not a curated record